GAUGAACGCUGGCGGCGUGCCUAAUACAUGCAAGUCGAGCGAAAACACGAUGAGCUUGCUCCCCUGACGUUAGCGACGGACGGGCGAGUAACACGUGGAUAACCUACCUAUAUGACUGGGAUAACUACGGGAAACCGGAGAUAAUACCGGAUCACAUGUUGAACCGCAUGGUUCAACAGUGCAUGACGGUUUUGCUGUCACUUAUAGAUGGAUCCGCGCCGCAUUAGCUAGUUGGUAAGGUAACGGCCUACCAAGGCAACGAUGCGUAGCUGACCUGAGAGGGUGAUCGGCCACACUGGAACUGAGACACGGUCCAGACUCCUACGGGAGGCAGCAGUAGGGAAUAUUGGACAAUGGGCGAAAGCCUGACCCAGCAACGCCGCGUGAGUGAAGAAGGUCUUCGGAUCGUAAAACCCUUUUAUUGGGAAAGAAAAGAUGUAUGAGUAACUAUGCACGUCCUGACGGUACCUAAACAGUAAGCCACGGCUAACUACGUG
RNAcentral lists this ribosomal RNA (497 nucleotides) under uncultured bacterium. RNAcentral's name for it is "partial 16S ribosomal RNA". It matches the Rfam family "Bacterial small subunit ribosomal RNA", at positions 28 to 507 of the family's 1533-position model. The record is from RNAcentral.